This 170-nucleotide microRNA precursor is filed under the name Medicago truncatula (barrel medic). RNAcentral describes it as "MIR2619 microRNA precursor family". It matches the Rfam family "MIR2619 microRNA precursor family". Lineage: Eukaryota; Viridiplantae; Streptophyta; Magnoliopsida; Fabales; Fabaceae. The record is from Rfam by way of RNAcentral.
AAACAGCCCCCUAUGUUUUGAUUCUUUGGCAGUUUUGGACCCCCAAGGCAAAAAAAAAUAAAAAAUUUGACACAUGGCACCUCACUUAGGGUGCCACGUCAGCGUUGACCGAGUUAACAAUGGACUGGGGGUUCAAAACUGCCAAAGAAUCAAAACAUAGGGGGCUGUUU